GGUCUCGUAGCUCAGUGGAAGAGCGCCCGCCUCACACGCGGGAGGUCGCUGGUUCGAACCCAGCCGGGACCA
Molecule: transfer RNA, 72 nt
Filed under: Mycobacterium cookii
Lineage: Bacteria; Bacillati; Actinomycetota; Actinomycetes; Mycobacteriales; Mycobacteriaceae
Also listed under: 5 other names
Rfam family: tRNA
About the family: Transfer RNA (tRNA) molecules are approximately 80 nucleotides in length.
Source: Rfam by way of RNAcentral